GUCAACUACCGCACACUGACCCUAACGGGUACAGUGUGGGCUUGAAUAAAGCUUGUUGACCAGACGGCUAGAAAAAUCUAGCAGCCGUUAGUGCCAAGAGUUAAAGUUCGUACCUUGGGAUGCGUGCCAGUUCCAAGCUCUACAACCGGGUAAUUAAACAGGCCAUACGGGAAAGCCAGUGUUAUUCGGAAAGUACCGAGCACUAACACCGUCGAGGCAAACCUUAC
Molecule: non-coding RNA, 227 nt
Organism: Lyngbya majuscula
Lineage: Bacteria; Bacillati; Cyanobacteriota; Cyanophyceae; Oscillatoriales; Microcoleaceae
Source: Rfam